GGGGCAGUAGCUUAGUUGGCAGAGCGUCUGGUUUGCACCCAGAAGGUCAGGGGUUCGACUCCCCUCUGCUCCA
This 73-nucleotide transfer RNA is filed under the name bacterium. Its description in RNAcentral is "tRNA-Ala". It matches the Rfam family "tRNA". From Rfam's summary of the family: Transfer RNA (tRNA) molecules are approximately 80 nucleotides in length. Their secondary structure includes four short double-helical elements and three loops (D, anti-codon, and T loops). The record is from RNAcentral.